UACAGAGGUCUCAAGCGUUGUUCGGAUUCAUUGGGCGUAAAGGGUGCGUAGACGGCGCGGUAAGUCGGGUGUGAAAUCUUGGAGCUUAACUCCGAAACUGCAUUCGAUACUGCCGUGCUUGAGGACUGGAGAGGAGACUGGAAUUUACGGUGUAGCGGUGAAAUUCGUAGAUAUUCGCAAGAACACCAGUGGCGAAGGCGGCUCACUGGCCCGGUACUGACGCUGAGGUGCGAAAGCGUGGGGAGCAAACAGG
This 253-nucleotide ribosomal RNA is filed under the name uncultured bacterium. RNAcentral describes it as "partial 16S ribosomal RNA". It matches the Rfam family "Bacterial small subunit ribosomal RNA", at positions 524 to 776 of the family's 1533-position model. The record is from RNAcentral.